GAUGAAGAACGUAGCGAAAUGCGAUAAGUAAUGUGAAUUGCAGAAUUCAGUGAAUCAUCGAAUCUUUGAACGCACAUUGCGCCCCUUGGUAUUCCGAGGGGCAUGCCUGUUCGAGCGUCAUUAUAACCCCUCAAGCUCAGCUUGGUGUUGGGGCCUGCCGCACGGGCAGCCCUUAAAAUCAGUGGCGGUGCCAUCUGGCUCUAAGCGUAGUAAUUCUUCUCGCUAUAGAGUUCCGGUGGAUGCUUGCCAUUAACCCCCAAUUUUCUAUGGUUGACCUCGGAUCGGGUAGGGAUACCCGCUGAACUUAAGCAUAUCAAUAAGCGGAGGA
Molecule: unclassified non-coding RNA, 328 nt
Filed under: soil metagenome
Description: partial contains 5.8S ribosomal RNA, internal transcribed spacer 2, and large subunit ribosomal RNA
Rfam family: 5.8S ribosomal RNA (bases 1-120)
Source: RNAcentral